GACGAACGCUGGCGGCGUGCUUAACACAUGCAAGUCGAACGGUAAGGCCCUUCGGGGUACACGAGUGGCGAACGGGUGAGUAACACGUGGGUGAUCUGCCCUGCACUUCGGGAUAAGCCUGGGAAACUGGGUCUAAUACCGGAUAGGACCACUGCCUGCAUGGGUGGUGGUGGAAAGCUUUUGCGGUGUGGGAUGGGCCCGCGGCCUAUCAGCUUGUUGGCGGGGUGAUGGCCUACCAAGGCGACGACGGGUAGCCGGCCUGAGAGGGUGACCAGCCACACUGGGACUGAGAUACGGCCCAGACUCCUACGGGAGGCAGCAGUGGGGAAUAUUGCACAAUGGGCGCAAGCCUGAUGCAGCGACGCCGCGUGCAGGAAGACGCUUUUCGGAGUGUAAACUGCUUUUAAUAGGGAAGAUUAUGACGGUACCUAUAGAAUAAGGACCGGCUAACUACGUGCCAGCCGCCGCCGUAA
RNAcentral lists this ribosomal RNA (473 nucleotides) under uncultured bacterium. Its description in RNAcentral is "partial 16S ribosomal RNA". It matches the Rfam family "Bacterial small subunit ribosomal RNA", at positions 28 to 523 of the family's 1533-position model. The record is from RNAcentral.